This 433-nucleotide ribosomal RNA is filed under the name uncultured bacterium. RNAcentral describes it as "partial 16S ribosomal RNA". It matches the Rfam family "Bacterial small subunit ribosomal RNA", at positions 29 to 507 of the family's 1533-position model. The record is from RNAcentral.
AACGAACGCUGGCGGCAUGCCUAACACAUGCAAGUCGAACGAGACCUUCGGGUCUAGUGGCGCCUGGGUGCGUAACCGGUUGGAUCCUGCCCUUAUGUUCGGCAUAACUCCCCGAAAGGGGUGCUAAUACCUGAUAAUGUCUUCGGACCAAAGAUUUAUUGCCUUUGGUUGUUCCCGCGUUGGUUUAGCUAGUUGUUAGGGUAAAAGCAUACCACGGCGACGAUCCAUAGCUGGUCUGUGAGGAUGAUCAGCGACACUGGGACUGAGACACGGCCCAGACUCGUACGAGAGGGAGGAGAGGGGGAUAUAGGACAGUGGGCGAAAGGCUGAGCCAGCAAGGCCGGGAGAAUGAUGAAGGCGUUAGAGUUGUAAAGCGCUAGUAACCGGGAUGAUAAUGACGGUACCGAGAGAAUAAGCUCCGGCUAACUACGUG